GGCACCUUAGCUCAGUUGGUAGAGCAGAGGACUGAAAAUCCUUGUGUCCGCAGUUCAAUUCUGCGAGGUGCCACCA
RNAcentral lists this transfer RNA (76 nucleotides) under Cyanobacteriota bacterium. Its description in RNAcentral is "Cyanobacteria bacterium (drinking water metagenome) tRNA-Phe". It matches the Rfam family "tRNA". From Rfam's summary of the family: Transfer RNA (tRNA) molecules are approximately 80 nucleotides in length. Their secondary structure includes four short double-helical elements and three loops (D, anti-codon, and T loops). The record is from RNAcentral. Lineage: Bacteria; Bacillati; Cyanobacteriota.